GAUGUGGUGGCCGAGUGGUUAAGGCGAUGUUUAUAUUCCUAUUUCCCUUUGAUCAUUUAAUUUAUUAAAUGGUCCGUCUUAUAGGAUUAACACUAGAAAGUCAUUUUCCUUUGGAAGCGCGGGUUCGAAUCCCGUCCACAUCA
Anaeramoeba ignava is the source of this 143-nucleotide non-coding RNA. The record is from the annotation of a GenBank genome assembly. Lineage: Eukaryota; Anaeramoebidae.